This is a long non-coding RNA of Onychomys torridus (southern grasshopper mouse), 607 nucleotides long. RefSeq lists it as uncharacterized. The record is from RefSeq and is a predicted model, not a curated record. Lineage: Eukaryota; Metazoa; Chordata; Mammalia; Rodentia; Cricetidae. The transcript is spliced from 3 exons.
UCGGCAGCAUGGCUUGCUCUGGGGUGGAGCGUGAAAGCCUUCCCAGGAGACUCGUGAUGAUUUCUAAACAGCUGCAUUCCCAGGAGGAUUAGGUGCUCAGCUCCAGGUUUGGGGGACAGACCUGUCUGUUAAGGACGAAUGAUGCUUUUGACAUUUUUAGAUGCUAUUUUUCAAGGCUGUGAAAGCACAGGAUGGUUUUGACCCCUGGCCUCCCUCCUCCUGGUCAACGUACUUCCUGGCACCAAGCAACCCAGAUUGGCUUUGAAUUUGGGUUCCCCCUGCCUCAGCCUUCAACCAGGGCUAGAAUCACAGAAUAGUUAGGUCAACACUUCACCUGGCAUCCAACUCGGGACACGAAAUCACGAGACAGCUGCUGCCCCUGGCUUUGCGGCAGCCGCUGGAGCCACCAGAGCUGCUACCACUGAAGCCACUGCCACUGGAGCCGCCACCGGCAGCUGACUUUGCCUUUUCCUGCACCGUGCCCUCUGAGCAAGUCUGGGAUUUUCCUGUUGCAGCCUCUCUACACGAGCUUCUAGCUGCUGCCCAGACUGCACAGGCCCCAAACUCUACAGGUGCCUGGGCUCCAAGUAAACGUACCCACUCAUGA